This 4740-nucleotide long non-coding RNA is filed under the name Canis lupus familiaris (dog). Its description in RNAcentral is "lncRNA (ENSCAFG00845003128.1)". Lineage: Eukaryota; Metazoa; Chordata; Mammalia; Carnivora; Canidae. The record is from RNAcentral.
UUUUUUUUUUUUUUUUUUUUUUUCCCCCUUUAAAGGUAGGAUGCCCUUGGGAAGCUGAAGAACUGCUGCCAUUAUAUGGCAGAAAAUAUUCAUUGCUGUCUUGCUCAGCUUGAACUGCUGUAACAAAAUAUCAUAUACACUAUGGCUUAAACAACAGACAUUCAUUCCUGAGUUCUGGAAGCUAACAAGUCCAAGAGCAAGGUGGAGGCGGAUUCAGUACUUAGAGCAGCUCUCCUCCUGGCUUGCAGGACAGCAAAUGUCUCUCUGUACAAGGCACAGAGAGAUCUGGUCUCUUCUUAUCAGGUCUCUAAUGUAAUUAGGAGGGCCCCACCCUCAGGACAGUAUCUAAACCUAAAUACUUCCCAAAAGCUUUACCUUGAAGUACUCUCACUUGGAGUUUAAUGCUUCAAUCUAUGGGUUUGGGGGGACACAAACAUUCACCUAUAAGUGCUGCAUUUGUAUGCUCAUAAAUACAUUUGUUGUUUAAAUAAUUCUUCAAAGCAACAAGAACUUCACAGAUCUAAAGCUUUAAAAAGUGCAUCUUUUGGAAUCUGGAAAUAUCAUAUUGAUUUAGACAAAAUAUAUUGAGUAGAAAUGGAGUCAAUAUCUGCAUCAUCUUUAGUCAAUCCAAGUAAAACCAAACAUCUAUUAUUAGAGAGUAAAUUAGACAAAGGAAAAUAGAUAUUCCUUAGUAGGCUUCUCAUAUGCUGCCAACCACCAUGCUGCUUUUAUCAGAUGGUUUUCAUAAAAAAAUUACUUUUAUCCUGUGGCAGUAUAAAGACACUGCCUUCAUGCUCAUGGUCUGUGGUUCACAAUAAAGUAGGUGUUGAAACUGAUACCAAGAAAUGUAUUUGUGGCUUCUAAUUUAAUAUAGUCCAGGUUUAAAAGACAAGAGUAUUUUACUUUGGGCCAAAAAGGUAUUGCAUGACUCAGAAGAAAUGAAAUUAUAUAGCUUUUUUUUUCCCCCCAGAAUAUUCUCCAUUAUGUGGUACAAAGGAUAGACGAGUAAGGAAAAACAGAAGAGGAAAAAAGGGAAGCCUAUGUACCUUAACACAGGAGUGAUGGAAAGAAAAAAAAAAAAAACAAACUAUGGUUUAAUAAACUGUAGUUAAGGAGUUAAAAUAGUAACCCAAAAGAUUUCUAGGUGAAUCAUAUAUAAUACAAGGAGAUUUGAUUUAUAAACCUAAUUUUGUGUAUCUCCUGGGAAAUCACUUACCCUAGUUCAUGACAGAUUUGUGAAGAACCUUUGGUGGUUGGGAUUCCACAUGGGAGUUUUUCUAAGUGGUAAUUUACAGCAGGAAAUCGGGAGGCUUACAUUCAUAGAAAAUGCUACAUUUGAGAGAAUAAAUGGAGAAGAAUGGGAGGGUCAAACCAAGACACAGCUGUAGCAUAGCCGUGAAGUAGGUUCUUGGUACCUAGAAGACUGCUAGUCACAGUCACUCCUCAACAACUGAAUGGAUGAAUGAAUGGUUUCAGAUAAUCUCAUAAAAGAAUAACUCAUUCAUGUUACCUUACCAUCUGCUGUCUCCAUGAAUUUUAUGAAUUUGGUCUGGGAAUUUUGUGAAUCACUCUAUUGUGAAUGUGAUGAUGGCGCAGAAUUUGCACAAGUGUAUCUACGUCAGAGAGGGUGCUUCAAACAGAUGAGAUUUGGCCAAUAACAAAAUUCAGCUAUUUCAAACUUUUGUCUACACUGACAUCAAUGCAAAUAUUCAUUGAGGAGAGAAAGCAACGGUAGAAAAAUAUUUACCUGCUUCCUAAAUAAAAACAUAUUCUUCAACAUUUCAAAUUAAAAUGUGAACAGUGGAACUGACUCCGUUUCUUCAAGAUGAUUGAGUUUAUUCAAAUUCAAAACUCAAAUAUUUGUAUUUUUAAUACAAUAACUGGGCAUUUCAUUUUUUAUUUAUUAAUAUGUGUAUCCCUCCUUCCAGCAAUAGAUAUGGCCAGUGGGUAGAAUUCUAGGGAUACAAGGAUAUACAAUUUUGAAGGUGAGGAUCUUGCUUUUCCUUAUCAGGGGAAAAUAAAUUGGAAACAAUAUGAAACCCGGGAUCUAAUCUCUUCAAAUAUCUACAGAAAUUGGGCCUAGCUGAUAAAUGUUACCAUUCCAGUAAAAUCAUAUCAUUUCUAGUUUUUCAAUGAUAUAUUUGGUUUGUAAUAUUUAGAAAGCAAUUUUUUUCACUGAGAGACAUUUAUUCAAUGCUAUUAUUAAAUGACCUCUAGAUGCCCAGCUCCUGGAUUACACAAGGUAAAUCUGUCAUUUUCAAAGAGUUUAUAUGCCUUAAGGACAUAAAUAAUAUGUCUAAAUAAGGAUAUGAUAAAAAGACGCUAAUAAAUGUCACAACAUGAGAAAAAGGACAGAAGUUCUAUGAAUGCAUAGAGAAAGUUAACUGGCCAGAUUAAUUAAAUCUCUGCGGAGAAAAGCUCUCUUCUUGAAGAAAUCCAGCAUAACUUUGAUUUCAAAAUUGAUUGAUCUACAAAAAUUCAGCAACUCCCUUGUAGCUAUUAUUUUUAACCCCUUCCUUCAUCAAGGAAAAUGCAUCAACAUCAUUAUUCUGUCAGUUAGCUUCAGUUUGUUAGAGUCAAAUGGAAAAGAAAGAAACUGGGGCGCCUGGGUGGCUUUGAUGGUUUAGCUCCCAACUCUUGAUUUCAGCUCAGGUCAGGAUUUCAGGUUUUGCAGAUCGAGCCCCGCCUGGGGCUCUGUGUUCAGCACAGAGUCCACUUGAGAUUGUUUCUCUCCCUCCUUGGCUUCCCCUCCCCUCCACUCAUGUUCUCUCUCUCUUUGAAUAAAAUAAUUACAUCUUAAAAAAAAUUAAAGAAACCAAAUAUUAGUCCAAGCUAUCGUACUGAUUACCAAAAACAAAAACAAAAACAAAAACAAAAAAAAAAGGAAAAGAGCAGGAAGACAUGAAAAUUUUUAUUCUUUGUUCAACAAGCAUCCAACAGUUGUUUUUAAUUGAACUAGCCUGAAAUAACAUUCAGUGUAUCUAUCCAGAAAAAAAAAAAAUCCAAAUGAAUUAUUUCUAGUAAAUAAUUCAGAGGGCACUAUUAAGCUCUUUUGUUUGCUUGUUUACAUUUUUUUUUAAUUUUGCUUUUAAUCUUUUCACACAGUAAAAUCUUAUUUUGUCCUUCUUAUACCUUUUCCUUCUUUCUGCCUACCUUUGCUCCCGGUACCUAGUGACCUCAUUGACCUAAUUACUUCUAUGUCCUUCCUCUGGGCAGGGAGAAGGAAGUGCUGGAAAGCUGAAGUGCUGGUGGAGAAGGAAACUCAGUGCUAGGGAGACAAGCAGGAAAGCAGUGAUUAGCAAUAUCUGUGGGGGAUAUUUGAUAAAGUUUGCUGUCUUCGGUAUUAUGUAUUCCUUCAUCCUGUAUUCCCACAAAUACUUAAUAAAACACACAUUAGUCGGUGGUAGCUUCAGCAUUAGAUUUGUAUUACUUGGGCAGCCCGGGUGGCUCAGUGGUUUAGUGCCACCUUCAGCACAGGUCCUGGAGACCUGUGAUCGAGUCCCACGUCAGGCUCCCUGCAUGGAGCCUGCUUCUCCCUCUGCCUGUGUCUUUGUCUCUCUUUCUCUCUGUGUCUCUCAUGAAUAAAUAAAUAAAAUCUUAAAAAAAAAAAAAAAGAAAAAGAUUUGUAUUACCCUGGAAGGAAACCUACUGCUAAAUGUGAUACUUUGGGACAACAGAGAAUACCAAGGGUUCUCUCACAUUUUGGGUCACAGGUUUGUCCAUACUUAGGAUAGAGUCGGACAUUUCCAUAUCCUCCUACCUCCUCUAUUUGGCUUAUUUAUGGGCUUAUAUUUCAUGUUUUAAUGUUCUUAUCAGGCAAACACAGGAAUCCAUUCCUCUCUGAAAAUAAAGAUUAUACUAUAGCAGUUUUGUCAUAUAAGGAUUCAUCUAUUUCUUUUUCAAGUACUUUAAGAUUCAUAAAUGUUCAUAGAAUUCAUUAUUAUGAUGUUGCUUUUUGGAUUCAAGAAUUGUAAAAUGUGUUAAAUAUUGGGGGUUCCUUCCAGAUUCGUAUCUACCACUGUUUUCAUAUACCACAUUAUAUCCAUGAAAACAAAUAUUUCUAUAAAUGAGGCAGAUGAACGCAUAAUUUUACCCUACAAACACAUGAACUGCAUAUUUACAUUAGCCUUUUAUUUCUCUAUGAAUUGUCACCAGAAAUAUGAAAUUAAUUUAAACCUCCAAACAUUUAUAUUGAUACUACAUGAAAACGUGAAAUGAUUUCUUCAACCUUCUGUUUCUGUAGAAACAUAUUAAGACAAAUUGUUUUGUAUUUGUGAAAUUAAAAGCAAAUACAUAUUCAUUAUUAAUCAGUAGCAAUCAUAUAAACAUUUGAACUUAAAAUUUAUGGUAUAUAUUUGAAUUUUAUAUUUUUGUCAGAUAUUUAAAUCAUUUACAGAACUUUUGUUCUAAAAUAGUGUCUCAAGUUAUUUUUAUUCCUUUUCUUUUUUCUUUCUUUACUUUAUUCUUUUUUUUUUUUUUUUUUUUUUUUUUUGCAAAUAGGUAUCCCUCAAACCUCUGUUAAAUAUCUAAGGGCAAAGCACUGUCUUCUGCUUCCUAUGCCAAAGCUAGUAAGAAAACAUUUUUGCUUAACUUUAUUUUAGAAAACAAUAUAAUGUCAUCUCUAAUAAUAAAGAGCAUUUAAUGAAAAUUGCAAUAACUCAAAAGAAAAAUUAGUCUUUGUUUAAAUGCACUUAGGAUAUAUUUUCCCACUUAUUUUUUCUAAAAAAAUAAAAAUAAAAA